This 229-nucleotide ribosomal RNA is filed under the name uncultured bacterium. Its description in RNAcentral is "partial 16S ribosomal RNA". It matches the Rfam family "Bacterial small subunit ribosomal RNA", at positions 568 to 796 of the family's 1533-position model. The record is from RNAcentral.
UGCGUAGGCGGGCUAAUAUGUCAGUGGUGAAAUCUUCCGGCUCAACCGGGAACCUGCCAUUGAUACUGUUAGUCUUGAGUUCGGUUGAGGUAGGCGGAAUGUGUAAUGUAGCGGUGAAAUGCUUAGAUAUUACACAGAACACCAAUUGCGUAGGCAGCUUACUAGACCGACACUGACGCUGAGGCACGAAAGCGUGGGGAGCGAACAGGAUUAGAUACCCUGGUAGUCC